GAUGAACGCUGGCGGCGUGCCUAACACAUGCAAGUCGAGCGAAGAGACGAGGAGUAUGGGCGUACGAGGGUAGCGGGGGAGGGGAGGGUAACAUGUCGACGAAAUAGCUAUAAGAAAGGGGGAAUAAUGGGGAACAGGAGCUAAUAGGGGAAAAUAUAUUGAAGAGGAAGGAGCAAGAGUGAAAGUAGGUAUUGGUGUGGGUAAUAGAUGGAUACGCGGAGCAUUAGCUAGUGGGUAAAGUAACGGCUUACCAAGGCAACGAUGCGUAGCCGACCUGCGAGGCUGAUCGGCCACACUGGAUCUGAGACACGGUCCAGACUCCUACGGGAGGCAGCAGUCGGGAAUCUUCCGCAAUGGGCGCAGGCCUGAAGCAGCAACGCCGCGUGCGUGCUGAAGGUCUUCGGGUCGUAUAACUCUUUUAUUAGGUAAGAACAUAAGUCUCUUUAACUAGGGACGUUUUGACGGUACCUAAUCAAAAAGCCACGGCUAACUUCGUG
This 497-nucleotide ribosomal RNA is filed under the name uncultured bacterium. Its description in RNAcentral is "partial 16S ribosomal RNA". It matches the Rfam family "Bacterial small subunit ribosomal RNA", at positions 28 to 507 of the family's 1533-position model. The record is from RNAcentral.